AUGGCCGAAUGCUUCAAUAAGGUGCUCAAAGGUGCAUGUGGAUUACCCGUGACAACAAUAGUUCAAUACACAUUUGCCAAGAUGAAUGCGUACUUUCUAAAGUACUCGAUGGAAACGGAUGCACAGAUAGAGGGUGAGAACAAGCACAAGUACAAGUUUCCACCCAAGGUUGAUGAAUGGUUGGAAUUUCAAUCGUGGAAGACGGACUCAGAAGAAGCUAUACUAUAUGACAAUGAAGAGUGGAAGUACGAAGUGAAAGAGCCAGGAGGAACCACAAAUGAUGGCCGCCAACAUGGAGGUCGGGCUUUCAAGGUCUCCUUAACACGGUGUGAUUGCUCUUGCGGGAGGGCAUUGUUGCUUCAUCUCCCAUGCUCACACUUGUAUACCGCCGGUCAUGUUAGGAAUGUGGAUGUCAACCACCCCCUCACUGUGAGGGAGUCGGAGUUCUCAAUCCUGACUAUUAAGAAAACAUGGGCUCCCCGCUUUCACCCAUACUUUGACCAAUCACAAUGGCCGGAGUACCAUGGAGUUCAACUAUGGCCGGAUCCGGAGUUGAAGGUUGUUAAACGGGGUAGACGUAAGACAAAGCGUCUUAGAGGCGACAUGGAUGGAUGGGGUCAUGGUGACCGCCGGGAAGCGGGCAACGACCAAUUCCAAGAGCCUCGUGAGAGCUCCCGUUGUGGGGAAUGCAAAGGUCAUGGCUCCAACAAUCAACAAGCGCGGUGA
Molecule: ribosomal RNA, 726 nt
Filed under: Triticum aestivum (bread wheat)
Lineage: Eukaryota; Viridiplantae; Streptophyta; Magnoliopsida; Poales; Poaceae
Description: partial small subunit ribosomal RNA
Source: RNAcentral